GCAAUUCUUCUGCCCUUGCACCGU
This 24-nucleotide non-coding RNA is filed under the name Mus musculus (house mouse). Lineage: Eukaryota; Metazoa; Chordata; Mammalia; Rodentia; Muridae. The record is from RNAcentral. RNAcentral also lists the same sequence under 1 other name.